RNAcentral lists this ribosomal RNA (289 nucleotides) under uncultured bacterium. RNAcentral's name for it is "partial 16S ribosomal RNA". It matches the Rfam family "Bacterial small subunit ribosomal RNA", at positions 29 to 334 of the family's 1533-position model. The record is from RNAcentral.
AGCGAACGCUAGCGGCGGGCUUAACACAUGCAAGUCGAGCGCUUCACUUCGGUGAAGAGCGGCGAACGGGUGAGUAACACGUAGGUUACCUGCCCUCUGGUGGGGAAUAACCCAGGGAAACCCGGGCUAAUACCGCAUAUGGUCUACGGAUCAAAGCCUUCGGGCGCCAGAGGAUGGGCCUGCGGCCCAUUAUUUAAUCCUUGUUGGUGGGGUAACGGCCUACCAAGGGUACGAUGGGUAGCUGGUCUGAGAGGAUGAUCAGCCACACUGGGACUGAGACACGGCCCAG